AAAGUCGUAACAAGGUUUCCGUAGGUGAACCUGCGGAAGGAUCAUUAAUAAUCAUCUCACUGAGAGAUAACUAUUACCCUUCAACAACCUGUGAACCAUUGAACACCAGGCUUUGCCUGGUCACCGCUCCUGCCUUGUGUCUCGGCACAGGGCGGGUUUAUGCGCGACCAGCAUUGCAUUUUAACAACACCUUUAAUCUUACACAUGUCAAGUCUGAUCAUAUAGUGUGAAAGCGUCUUGAUACCCUUCUGGGUGUCUCGGCUUUAGCAUGCUUGUCUUUUUAAGUAAAACAAGAACCUAAAACAACUUUUAACAAUGGAUCUCUUGGCUCCU
This 333-nucleotide unclassified non-coding RNA is filed under the name Basidiomycota sp. RNAcentral's name for it is "partial contains small subunit ribosomal RNA, internal transcribed spacer 1, and 5.8S ribosomal RNA". The stretch from base 1 to 47 matches the Rfam family "Eukaryotic small subunit ribosomal RNA", at positions 1785 to 1831 of the family's 1831-position model. Lineage: Eukaryota; Fungi; Basidiomycota. The record is from RNAcentral.